RNA transcript from Prionailurus viverrinus (fishing cat), 1377 nucleotides. It is a transcript of the gene named ribosomal protein L26 like 1, with no coding region annotated. The record is from RefSeq and is a predicted model, not a curated record. Lineage: Eukaryota; Metazoa; Chordata; Mammalia; Carnivora; Felidae. The transcript is spliced from 2 exons.
UCAUGAGUUCGAGCCCUGCAUCGGGCUCUCUGCUGUCAGUGCAGGGCCCACUUCGGAUCCUCUCCCCAUCUGUUUCUCCCCCUUCCCCUCGCACGCUUGCGCUCUCCCUCUCAGAAAUAAACCCUUUAAAAACCUCAUGUCGUCUCAAGCUUCUAAUCUGGGAGUGCUCUUGAUCAAAAAACUGCUACUGCCUCUAUAAUCGGAUUCUCCUCCCAUCUUUCACACAUCAGUAAGCAAUGCUUUUUCACUUGCCUACGCCAUAAGCCUCUAAAUUCUAACAUCUCUCUCCCUGACCCAUUUCUACUCUGUCACUUAAUCUUAUUGAUUCUGUCUCUAAAACGUGUCUUGAAUCUGAUCACUUCUUUCCAUUUCCAUUUCAGUUCAAGACUUCUCCAGCUUCUACUCUUAAUCCUGAUCAGGCGUUCUUCACAGAGGGGUAUUUUUUGCAAAUCAGAUUCUACUUAAACCCUAUCAGUGUUGCUUGAUUGCUUACUAUAAACCUAAAAUCAUUGACAAGGCCUUGUGUGACCCAGUCGUGGUCUACUUCUCCAACGUCACCUUAUUCUCUAAUGCCCACCUGCUCUGUAGUUCAGACAUACUGACCUUUUCAGGUCCUUAAAUGCACCUUGAUCUUUCCUUCCUCAGGGUCUUUGCCCGGAAUGGUCCCUCUGCCUGAAGUGCUCUUCCUUCUCCCCUUUACCUGACUAACCCCUCAUUUUUCACUGUUACCUUAAAUGUCAGUUCCUCGGAAAAGCCUUCCCAGAUACUUUAACCAGUAUUCUAUCGUAGCAUCCUCUAUUUACAUUUCUUUCAUAACAGUGAACUCAAUUUGAUUUUAUUUCUUUUUAAACUGAGGCAUACCGGGCCCAUCUGCACCCCCCCAAAGGCGUGGCUGCCCCGUCGGCAUCACAGGGCCACGAGCACGCGUCCUUCAGCCUGGAGUAGCUGGAGUUCAUCUUCCUCCGGACUCUGUUCCUCAACAGCCACCUGUGCCAGUGCCUGUCUGCGCUCAUCCCUGAGCCCAGGAUCCAGGUGUGGUUCCAGAACAGGCGUGCCGAGUCAUGACAUCACAGUGGGAAAUCCUUUCGACCUUGGCCAGGCUGGACCUUUUGCUCCACCACUCUGCUCAUGGAACUGAAACGAAAUGAUGGAAGCCCUAGCUGCCUCUUGAGAUAGAUGUGAACUGCCUGCCACAUCCCAGCACGGUUGGAGAGGGCAAUCUCUGACCCUGACUCUCAAGGUGGUUCGAGGACACUACAAAGGUCAGCAAAUAGGCAAGGUAGUCCAGGUGUACAGAAAAAAGUAUGUCAUCUACAUCGAGCGAGUGCAGCGUGAGAAGGCUAAUGGUACAACUGUUCAUGUGGGCAUUCACCCCAG